Molecule: non-coding RNA, 535 nt
Organism: Tachyglossus aculeatus (Australian echidna)
Lineage: Eukaryota; Metazoa; Chordata; Mammalia; Monotremata; Tachyglossidae
Source: the annotation of a RefSeq genome assembly
AUCAUGGCCUUCGCUCCCGUCUCUGUAAUUGUCAUCUUGUUAGUGUUGGGAGGGACGGAUGGAGAUUCAGUGAACCAGACAGAAGGCCACGUCACCCUCGUUGAAGAGGCAACACUUACUCUCACCUGCACAUAUGAAUCGAGUAGUUAUACCCCUUAUCCCUUCUGGUACGUCCAGUUUUCUGGGGAAGCCCCUAAGCUUCUCCUGAAGGACACGACUGAGAAAGAACAAAAGGAAAGCAGCAAUGGUUUUCAUGCCAGACACGAAAAGACCUCCAAGUCUUUCGACCUGAAGAAAUACGCCGUCACCCUUGGAGACUCAGCUGUGUACUACUGUGCUGUGAGUGACACAGUGACAGGGGCUGCAGGGGGAAGCUGUACACAAACCCCUGACAGGCCCAGCAGCAACGAGCUGGAAAUUGAGCUUCCUUCUCUCCCGCAGCCACAGACACCCACCUGUUCUGGGGCUCGCUCCAUGGAGACGGGAAAGUACCGGCCUUGCUUAUCCAGCAGAGAAUGGCUACCAUCAAGGUUAA